Long non-coding RNA from Homarus americanus (American lobster), 909 nucleotides. RefSeq lists it as uncharacterized. NCBI's taxonomy places the organism in Eukaryota, Metazoa, Arthropoda, Malacostraca, Decapoda, Nephropidae. The transcript is spliced from 3 exons. The record is from RefSeq and is a predicted model, not a curated record.
CCAGCAGCAGCAGCAGCGGGCAGCCCCCAGAAAGCGGUGGUGUUUCAGUGUUACCUUGGCUGUGGGAGGGAGAGCACGCGUCGCUGCCACCUCCGUUACCGCCUCCACCGCCACGCUGGUUCCGCUCAGGCCACCUGCCUUCCCCCGCACGUUUUCCGCAAAGGCUUGGCUCGUGUGUCCGCACUAAGGCCUCUCCAGGAUUUGUGUGUGACUCUGCGGUAGUUCAUGAGCUCAGGCGUGUGCUGGUUUUGCUCGACGACCAGCAAGGAAAGUGCAACGCCAGUGAUCUAUUAGGUGACGAACUCAAAUCUGGAAAUCCUGAAGACGGUGCCUGAAAAUCCGGACAGCGGUGUCUGGAAGCAAUCCUCAAAUCUUUCAGUCAUUGAUUAAGCAGAGUCGUUGUUUUGAGUCAGACGCGGGUUGACUCACCGUAGCUGGGUUGAUGAGUGACUGGUGAGUGCGAGAUGAGUAAGGUGGGGAACCAGACCAAUUCUCAGGAUCCACAAGCCAUCAAUUCCAGGACCUUCGUGGGCAACCUCAACACCUUCCAGUGUACGAAGACUGAUGUAGAGCGUAUGUUCCAGCGCUACGGUCGCAUCGCAGUUUGACUUUUUGGGGACAUUGGAUAUAUGAAGCGAGGAAACAUUUCUACAAGUGACUGAACUUCUCACCACCACCACCACCACCACCACUGAGCUGGUCACGACCCCCCUGACACACCUUGUGCUGAAGAAGGCGACAACGGGGACAACUGACCUACCCACCUACCUAUCUACCUACUCACACAUCUCCUGACAAAGGAGAACUUGGCCGGAGGUUGUCUCUGUGUUGUACCCCAAGUUGGUCCCCCCCAGCUCUCAGGAGGUACCACACACACACACACACAGUCACCAUGAACGGCUACCAGAU